CGUCGGUUCCCUCGCGACGAUUGGCUGUUAACCCCGUCAGGCCCGGAAGGGAGCAGCGGAAGCGGUUAAAUUGGGUGCCGGGGACGAGCUGACGCGG
RNAcentral lists this signal recognition particle RNA (97 nucleotides) under Rhodospirillaceae bacterium. RNAcentral describes it as "signal recognition particle sRNA small type". It matches the Rfam family "Bacterial small signal recognition particle RNA". Rfam says of the family: The signal recognition particle (SRP) is a universally conserved ribonucleoprotein involved in the co-translational targeting of proteins to membranes. The record is from RNAcentral. Lineage: Bacteria; Pseudomonadati; Pseudomonadota; Alphaproteobacteria; Rhodospirillales; Rhodospirillaceae.